RNAcentral lists this transfer RNA (74 nucleotides) under Pteris multifida. RNAcentral describes it as "tRNA-Arg". It matches the Rfam family "tRNA". Rfam says of the family: Transfer RNA (tRNA) molecules are approximately 80 nucleotides in length. Their secondary structure includes four short double-helical elements and three loops (D, anti-codon, and T loops). Further hydrogen bonds mediate the characteristic L-shaped molecular structure. tRNAs have two regions of fundamental functional importance: the anti-codon, which is responsible for specific mRNA codon recognition, and the 3' end, to which the tRNAs corresponding amino acid is attached (by aminoacyl-tRNA synthetases). tRNAs cope with the degeneracy of the genetic code in two manners: having more than one tRNA (with a specific anti-codon) for a particular amino acid; and 'wobble' base-pairing, i.e. permitting non-standard base-pairing at the 3rd anti-codon position. Lineage: Eukaryota; Viridiplantae; Streptophyta; Polypodiopsida; Polypodiales; Pteridaceae. The record is from RNAcentral.
AGGUUGGUGGCUAAAUGGAGGAAAGCGCGUGUUUUUAAAUCGCAGAUCCGAGGGUUCGAAUCCCCCACCAAUUA